Molecule: ribosomal RNA, 1506 nt
Filed under: Escherichia coli
Lineage: Bacteria; Pseudomonadati; Pseudomonadota; Gammaproteobacteria; Enterobacterales; Enterobacteriaceae
Description: bacterial LSU rRNA
Rfam family: Bacterial large subunit ribosomal RNA
Source: RNAcentral
UGUGAGCUCGAUGAGUAGGGCGGGACACGUGGUAUCCUGUCUGAAUAUGGGGGGACCAUCCUCCAAGGCUAAAUACUCCUGACUGACCGAUAGUGAACCAGUACCGUGAGGGAAAGGCGAAAAGAACCCCGGCGAGGGGAGUGAAAAAGAACCUGAAACCGUGUACGUACAAGCAGUGGGAGCCUCUUUUAUGGGGUGACUGCGUACCUUUUGUAUAAUGGGUCAGCGACUUAUAUUCUGUAGCAAGGUUAACCGAAUAGGGGAGCCGAAGGGAAACCGAGUCUUAACUGGGCGUUAAGUUGCAGGGUAUAGACCCGAAACCCGGUGAUCUAGCCAUGGGCAGGUUGAAGGUUGGGUAACACUAACUGGAGGACCGAACCGACUAAUGUUGAAAAAUUAGCGGAUGACUUGUGGCUGGGGGUGAAAGGCCAAUCAAACCGGGAGAUAGCUGGUUCUCCCCGAAAGCUAUUUAGGUAGCGCCUCGUGAAUUCAUCUCCGGGGGUAGAGCACUGUUUCGGCAAGGGGGUCAUCCCGACUUACCAACCCGAUGCAAACUGCGAAUACCGGAGAAUGUUAUCACGGGAGACACACGGCGGGUGCUAACGUCCGUCGUGAAGAGGGAAACAACCCAGACCGCCAGCUAAGGUCCCAAAGUCAUGGUUAAGUGGGAAACGAUGUGGGAAGGCCCAGACAGCCAGGAUGUUGGCUUAGAAGCAGCCAUCAUUUAAAGAAAGCGUAAUAGCUCACUGGUCGAGUCGGCCUGCGCGGAAGAUGUAACGGGGCUAAACCAUGCACCGAAGCUGCGGCAGCGACACUGUGUGUUGUUGGGUAGGGGAGCGUUCUGUAAGCCUGUGAAGGUGUACUGUGAGGUAUGCUGGAGGUAUCAGAAGUGCGAAUGCUGACAUAAGUAACGAUAAAGCGGGUGAAAAGCCCGCUCGCCGGAAGACCAAGGGUUCCUGUCCAACGUUAAUCGGGGCAGGGUGAGUCGACCCCUAAGGCGAGGCCGAAAGGCGUAGUCGAUGGGAAACAGGUUAAUAUUCCUGUACUUGGUGUUACUGCGAAGGGGGGACGGAGAAGGCUAUGUUGGCCGGGCGACGGUUGUCCCGGUUUAAGCGUGUAGGCUGGUUUUCCAGGCAAAUCCGGAAAAUCAAGGCUGAGGCGUGAUGACGAGGCACUACGGUGCUGAAGCAACAAAUGCCCUGCUUCCAGGAAAAGCCUCUAAGCAUCAGGUAACAUCAAAUCGUACCCCAAACCGACACAGGUGGUCAGGUAGAGAAUACCAAGGCGCUUGAGAGAACUCGGGUGAAGGAACUAGGCAAAAUGGUGCCGUAACUUCGGGAGAAGGCACGCUGAUAUGUAGGUGAAGUCCCUCGCGGAUGGAGCUGAAAUCAGUCGAAGAUACCAGCUGGCUGCAACUGUUUAUUAAAAACACAGCACUGUGCAAACACGAAAGUGGACGUAUACGGUGUGACGCCUGCCCGGUGCCGGAAGGUUAAUUGAUGGGGU